This 231-nucleotide unclassified non-coding RNA is filed under the name plant metagenome. Its description in RNAcentral is "partial contains small subunit ribosomal RNA, internal transcribed spacer 1, and 5.8S ribosomal RNA". The record is from RNAcentral.
UUUCCGUUGGUGGACCAGCGGAGGGAUCAUUACAGAGUUGCAAAACUCCCAAACCAUUGUGAACGUUACCUAUCCCGUUGCUUCGGCGGGCGGCCCGGGCCCCGCGCCCGGCGCCCCCCGGCCCCCCGUGGGCGCCCGCCGGAGGUAAACCAAACCCUUGAAUUGCAUGGCCUCUCUGAGUCUUCUGUACUGAAUAAGUCAAAACUUUCAACAACGGAUCUCUUGGUUCUG